ACAGAAGNGAGGCUAACCGCAAGGGGGCCGCUUACCACGGUGCGUUUCGUGACUGGGGUGAAGUCGUAAACAAGGUACCC
This 80-nucleotide ribosomal RNA is filed under the name uncultured bacterium. RNAcentral describes it as "partial 16S ribosomal RNA". The record is from RNAcentral.